This is a long non-coding RNA of Xyrauchen texanus (razorback sucker), 2672 nucleotides long. RefSeq lists it as uncharacterized. The transcript is spliced from 3 exons. NCBI's taxonomy places the organism in Eukaryota, Metazoa, Chordata, Actinopteri, Cypriniformes, Catostomidae. The record is from RefSeq and is a predicted model, not a curated record.
GCGACUGUUGCCUUGUUUACCUGCCUAGCGACCUGACGUCUGCCUUGGUUAUCUGUUUCAUCGUAGCGCCGCAGAAUCCCCGGUGCUGUAGCAGCCCUUUCACCAGCUGAGUGUGCACACUGCUAUUGGCAAUCAGAGCUUGGGGCUCGUGACUUAACGCUGCUAAUCAUAGGUGCGAAGAACGGUCCGUGGGAGCAGUGCCUCUGGCGGUGGUGGGUCCCUUGGUGUGUGUGCAGUGGCUGUGUGUUCACCGAGUGUGGUCAUUUCCUUUAUGUGUGUGAACUCGGCACGUGUGAUUGGGGUGUUUUCCACGGAUGCUCAUUGCUGGAGCCACUAGCCUAGCCACUAGGUAAGAUUCCGCACUAUCCCUUUCCCUUUUUGAUGAGUGUGUGUUUUGAUUGGAGUGUAAGGAUUGUGUUUUGUUGUUGAUUUUGUGUAUUUGUUUACUGUGAUAAAUUAGCUUAUAGGUUUGCAGUGAAGACCAAACACACGUGUGUGUGUGUGUGUGUGUGUGUGUGUGUGUGUGUGUGUGUGUGUGUGUGUGUGUGUGUGUGUGUGUGUGUGUGUGUGUGUGUGUGUGUGUGUGUGUGUGUGUGUGUGUGUGUGUGUGUGUGUGUGUGUGUGUGUGUGUGUGUGUGUGUGUGUGUGUGUGUGUGCUUUUAAAAAGAAAUAAAAUUCUCUUUUUGUACUGGACCACUGUCUCUGGCUAAUCAAUCAACGAACUUGAGUGCCUUGUUAGAAUAAACUAACUAAUUCUUUGGGUGUAAAUCCCAUCGUGGCGUAGUCUGCUAAUUGUCUGAGUUUAACCCCUGUUAUUUGUAUUCCACCUGCCACACAGGCUUGCGAUUAAUAACAAACUAUAAUAAGGAUACUCAGAAAGAUUCUGCAUUUGUGCGAAACCACAAAUAACACCCCACCAUUGAUUAAAAAGGUACAAAUACCAGUUUUUAAAAGAUGAAUGUGACGAGGAAGAGGAUGUGCAUUUGUCUAUGUAAACAUGCGCUGUAGACGAAAGUCUUUUACUGUAGCACCGCAUCUCGCUGUUUUCUUUCAGUCUCUUGUAGGCGUGCAGUGUUUUUAGACGCCGUGUUUAAACCAAACUGUGAAUACAUUUGUCUUGAGACAUUCUGCAUUCUGUUAUAUUCGUUCCACUGCGUCUUGCUUUAAUCACGUGUGCGGUCUGAACUGAUUCUGACAUCUUUUUAAAACCCCAAGAGGUUAACUAAAGACUAACCAUAAGUUAACUAAAAAUAACUUUUAAAAGAUCUAUAUGAAGCAACUUUUCAGCAGACGAAUUCACUCAUUUGGGUGUUCUUGGUUCUAGUAUGAGUAGAUAGUUAAAAGUGUACUCAGUUAUUUUUUUUCUCCUAAAGAAAAUAGUAACUUUGAAGCAUGAGAUAUAAAAUCAUGACCACUUGGUCACCUUAUAAAAGUAGUUUUAUUCUACAUAAAGAGGGUCCCCUCAUGGGGGCUGCCAUGUUAGGAUCACACGACCUGCUGAAUACUACUCCUUUAUUUCUGUAAUCUCCCUGUUAUUGGACACUUUCACUAAUGGAUUAAGUUGGCUGACUGUGAAUGGAGAAUUUCUGCAAUGGCAUCUGUAACUUAAUUGUUUACCCAAACAUGAAAAUACUCAUCAUUUACUCACCCUCAGCCUAUAUUACUUUCUUGCUGCUGCUGAACACAAACCGAGAUUUUUAGAAGAAUAUCUCAGCUCUGUUGGUACAUUCAUUGCAAGUUAAUGGUGUCCUGAACUUUGAAGCUCCAAAAAGGACAUAAAGGCAGCAGAAAAAAAAAUCUGCAGAAAUCAAUCUCAACUCCAGUGAUUAAUCCAUGUCUUCAGAAGUGCUAUGAUAGGUAUGGGUGAAAAACAAAUCAAUUUUAAAGUCCUUUUUUACUAUAAAUUAUCCUCCCUGCCAAGUAUGUAACAAUAUACUCAAAUAAUGUGAGUCGCCAAAAACAAAUUUAAGUAUGUGAAAGUGGAGAUUUAUAGUAAAAUAAAAGUACAUAAAUAUUUAUCUGUUUCUCACCCACACCAUAUCAUAUCACUUCUGAAGACAUGGAUUAUACCACUGGAGUCACUUUUAUUCUGCCUUUUUAGAGUUUCAAAGUUUUGGUAAUCUUUCACACCUAUGGAUGUAUGGACCUACAGGGCUGCAAUAUUCUUCUAAAAAUGUUCUGUCACAUCUUUUAUGACAAAGUCAUACACACCUGGAAUGGCCUGAGGGUGAGAUGAGAGAAUUUCAGUUUUGGGUGAACUAUCCCUUUAAAACUAUUGUGUUUCAAUAACGCUGCCUUCAGGCCCUUUGGUGUCAGUCCAGUAUUACAUAUUAAGAAAAACUUAUUGAGAAAUGUGAUGCUUAUAUAUGUGACAAAUUUAUUGUAUUUUUUUUCACCCUCUCAUUUUAAGCAUUUUGUUUACCACAGCUCAGAAAUACAAUGACCUUUCAUCAAUUGAUCAACUUUGAUCAGGGAAGAGACCCAAAACCCCCAUUAUUUUUAGAUAUGGUUAAGCCUUUUUAAUUAAAGGCUUUCAUGGCGCAUCGAUCGUGGAACGGAAAUGUCUCUUUCCAUGUCAUCUAUUCCUUGUUGUCCCUUGUGUGCCUAUAAUUCAGCAUAAGGCUUAUAGAUCAUCUGUUGCUUUUGAUACUCCAAUGAAGGAAUGAAAUUGU